CCUAAGGUAGCGAAAUUCCUUGUCGGGUAAGUUCCGACCUGCACGAAUGGCGUAAUGAUGGCCAGGCUGUCUCCACCCGAGACUCAGUGAAAUUGAACUCGCUGUGAAGAUGCAGUGUACCCGCGGCAAGACGGAAAGACCCCGUGAACCUUUACUAUAGCUUGACACUGAACAUUGAGCCUUGAUGUGUAGGAUAGGUGGGAGGCUUUGAAGUGUGGACGCCAGUCUGCAUGGAGCCGGCCUUGAAAUACCACCCUUUAAUGUUUGAUGUUCUAACGUUGGCCCCUGAUCGGGGUUGCGGACAGUGUCUGGUGGGUAGUUUGACUGGGGCGGUCUCCUCCUAAAGAGUAACGGAGGAGCACGAAGGUUGGCUAAUCCUGGUCGGACAUCAGGAGGUUAGUGCAAUGGCAUAAGCCAGCUUGACUGCGAGCGUGACGGCGCGAGCAGGUGCGAAAGCAGGUCAUAGUGAUCCGGUGGUUCUGAAUGGAAGGGCCAUCGCUCAACGGAUAAAAGGUACUCCGGGGAUAACAGGCUGAUACCGCCCAAGAGUUCAUAUCGACGGCGGUGUUUGGCACCUCGAUGUCGGCUCAUCACAUCCUGGGGCUGAAGUAGGUCCCAAGGGUAUGGCUGUUCGCCAUUUAAAGUGGUACGCGAGCUGGGUUUAGAACGUCGUGAGACAGUUCGGUCCCUAUCUGCCGUGGGCGCUGGAGAACUGAGGGGGGCUGCUCCUAGUACGAGAGGACCGGAGUGGACGCAUCACUGGUGUUCGGGUUGUCAUGCCAAUGGCACUGCCCGGUAGCUAAAUGCGGAAGAGAUAAGUGCUGAAAGCAUCUAAGCACGAAACUUGCCCCGAGAUGAGUUCUCCCUGACUCCUUGAGAGUCCUGAAGGAACGUUGAAGACGACGACGUUGAUAGGCCGGGUGUGUAAGCGCAGCGAUGCGUUGAGCUAACCGGUACUAAUGAACCGUGAGGCUUAACCUU
RNAcentral lists this ribosomal RNA (981 nucleotides) under human gut metagenome. Its description in RNAcentral is "bacterial LSU rRNA". It matches the Rfam family "Bacterial large subunit ribosomal RNA", at positions 1950 to 2925 of the family's 2925-position model. The record is from RNAcentral.